RNAcentral lists this ribosomal RNA (497 nucleotides) under uncultured bacterium. Its description in RNAcentral is "partial 16S ribosomal RNA". It matches the Rfam family "Bacterial small subunit ribosomal RNA", at positions 28 to 507 of the family's 1533-position model. The record is from RNAcentral.
GAUGAACGCUGGCGGCGUGCCUAAUACAUGCAAGUCGAGCGAACGAACGAGCAGCUUGCUUCUCUGAUGUUAGCGGCGGACGGGAGAGUAACACGUGGAUAACCUUCCUGUAAGACUGGGAUAACUUCGGGAAACCGGUGCUCCUUACGGUUAAUAUUUUGCACCGCAUGGAUCAUAAGUUAAAGACGGUAUUGCUGGCACAUAUAGAUGGUUCCGCGCUGCAUUAGCUAAUUGGUUAGGUAACGGCUUACCAAAGCAACGAGACAUAGCCGACCGGAGAGGGUGAGCGGCCACACUGGAACUGAGACGCGGUCCAGACUCCAACGGUACGCAACGGUGGGGUGUGGACCGCAAGGGGCGAGAGCCUAGAGGGGCACCGCCACGUGGGUGAUAAAAGUCUUCGGAUAGGAAAACUCAGUUAUUAGUGAAGAGCAAAUGUGUAAGCAACUGGGCACAGCUUGACGGUACUUAAUGAGAAAGCCACGGCUAACUACGUG